RNAcentral lists this ribosomal RNA (466 nucleotides) under uncultured bacterium. RNAcentral's name for it is "partial 16S ribosomal RNA". It matches the Rfam family "Bacterial small subunit ribosomal RNA", at positions 28 to 505 of the family's 1533-position model. The record is from RNAcentral.
GACGAACGCUGGCGGCGUGCUUAACACAUGCAAGUCGAACGGAAAGGCCCUGCUUUUGUGGGGUGCUCGAGUGGCGAACGGGUGAGUAACACGUGAGUAACCUGCCCUUGACUUUGGGAUAACUUCAGGAAACUGGGGCUAAUACCGGAUAGGAGCUCCUGCUGCAUGGUGGGGGUUGGAAAGUUUCGGCGGUUGGGGAUGGACUCGCGGCUUAUCAGCUUGUUGGUGGGGUAGGGGCUUACCAAGGCUUUGACGGGUAGCCGGCCUGAGAGGGUGACCGGCCACAUUGGGACUGAGAUGCGGCAGAGGCGACUAUGGGAGGCAGCAGUGGGGAAUAUUGCACAAUGGGCGGAAGCGUGAUGCAGCAACGCCGCGUGCGGGAUGACGGCCUUCGGGUUGUAAACCGCUUUCGCCUGUGACGAAGCGUGAGUGACGGUAAUGAGUAAAGAAGCACCGGCUAACUACG